GCUUUCCCAUGUCUGUCUAAGCCGCAAGGAGCAGAGGUUUGAGCGCCCCAUGAGCACUGACGGAUCUCUCUUCUUGCCUCUCAUCCAGAAUGACGAGGACAACGGCCCUGGGUCUCCAGCUGCUCUUGGGAGGGUAGCAGGUCCUUGCCAGCACCCCCAGACCACAAACCAGUAAGUGCCCCCCUGUCGAAGUGACAGUUUCGCUCUGCUGCACUUUGAGGAAUGAAGAGGAAGGGCCACCCUCCAUGGGGGACGAAGGGCCAGCGGAGGGCAGCGCCUCCCUGCCGCAGGACAGCACACUGUCACAGCAGCGGCCCUGAGGACAGCAGUGCCCAGGGAGCGGAUCUCCACAGGGCCAUCACUCCGAGAGCACAGCCCGCUCCAAGGGGACACUCACAGCAGCUGGCAGGCACUCUUGAGGGGUGCCAGUUUCCAACAACAAGGGCCCCGGGGGUGGAGGGGUGGGGCUUGACACUGUAAUUUCAUCUUUAAGAGAAACAGAACAUCAAACAGCAACACCUCAUGCCAGGAAGACUGGGUCGCUGACAUUGGCAUGAAUUGCUGCUGGUGGGAAAACAGUAGAGGUACUUUGGGGAACACCCUGGACCCUGGACUUUCUCGAUCUGAAAGCCCUUUGCUGUCCACGACCGGUCUUUCCCUGACGGGGCCGUUCGCUGAGCCGGGGCAACGUUUAUCUUCUGUGAUAAACAAGGAGACUAAGCUGGAGAGGCUGAGAAACGCUCCCCCAGCAACAGGACCUGGCCCUACUCACCGGCCCACAGACACGGAGAAGGGGGCACGGCGACAGUGUCCUGGGCCACCGCUGCUCUGGCCUGGCACCCACUUUCUGGUCGCUUCCCCACCAGGGGGUGCAGGGCCCCGGUCGAGCUGGAUGAAAGAGGACUCCCGGCCUCGGUCUGCCAGCUUUUUGGAAAGCUAAAGAGCUCCUAAGAAAACCUGUCAUUAGCCGUCAUUCGACACGUUGGGCAAAACCCGCAACCAAGCACUUGGAAGGGUGGCUUUAGGAACACUCACCAGACCUCCUUUCUCAUUCUCAUACCCGGCAACCGCGUGGCCCGUCUCAGGGAGCCACCAUCACGUUGGUCUAUCUCUGCACAGCUGCUCAAGUACGGGUUCCAUCCCAGGAAGCCUGAGGAAGCAGGAAGUCAUCUUAGCUGAGGAAACAGACACUCUGAGCAUCCAUUCCCUGUAACCUGCUUCGUUUCCUAGGCCUUCGUACAAAAUCAAUGCCAAGGUUAAAAAAAUCUAACCAUGGGUUGGGAACAAGGCCUGGAUAUUAUUCCAAGCUCUGGCACAGGCAUGCAGUUUGUCCCUGGGCAAAUUCCUUAGCCUGUCUCUGCCUCAGUCUCAUCAUUCACAGAAUGCUGGGUAAGGAAGGGUACUUCCUUCUCGUUAUUAUGAAAGACAAGCUGUGCUUAUGUCCUUCUGCAAAAUGGGACGCCGCUUUCCUAGGAAGGGUACCAGUCAAUACCAGCGUAUGUAUCUUAAAGAGAUAAUCAGAUUAAAAGCAGCAUGGAAUAUACAAAGAAAAAUGAUUGAAUUCCUAGUGGACCAGGCAUAUUGCUGCCCUUUGGGUCCAAACGAAAAAGUAUAUCUUGAAUUACUGAAAUUUUCUCUUUUUUAAAUUUUUUUUACUUUAUUUUUUGUCUUUUUGCCAUUUCUUGGGCCGCUCCCGUGGCAUAUGGAGGUUCCCAGGCUAGGGGUCAAAUCGGAGCUGUAGCCGACAGCCUACACCAGAGCCAGAGCAAUGCCAGAUCCGAGCCGCGUCUGCGACCUACACCACAGCUCACGGCGACGCCAGAUCCUUAACCUUCUGAGCAAGGGCAGGGAUCGAACCAGCAACCUCAUGGUUCCUGGUCGGAUUCGUUAACCAUUGCUCCACGACGGAAACUCCCUGAAAUUUUCUUUCUUGCCUCAUCUAAUACAUGACAGAUUCUAAGUGUCAUUCUUACACCUCAUCCAUUAGUAAUUGCUCACUAAAUCGAAAUACUUGCUGCUUUUUCUGGUUGACUGUAUCUAGAACAUUUCCCAGUGUGUUUCAUUCAUUAUUGUACUCAACACGUUUGCUGCAUGAAUAGAUGACUGUGUUGCAUGCUUAUACCGCAAAUUAACAUUUUUUCUUCAUUAGGCACUAUGUUUCUAAUUUCUUGUUUUAUUAAGUAAUGCUGCAGUGUACUAUCUUAUGCAUCAAUAUCUUCCCAGAAAUCUGGUUACCUACUUAAAGCUCAAUCACUGUGAUUUAGAAUUUUGUAGAACAAAAAAGGAAAGCAGUAUACACAAAGAAAAAGAAUAUAUACAAGUGAAACAAACCACAUGGUUAGAAAAUCACAAUAAAAAAUCUGUAAAUGUUAACACUGGUUAU
RNAcentral lists this long non-coding RNA (2383 nucleotides) under Sus scrofa (pig). Its description in RNAcentral is "lncRNA (ENSSSCG00000047793.2)". Lineage: Eukaryota; Metazoa; Chordata; Mammalia; Artiodactyla; Suidae. The record is from RNAcentral.